RNAcentral lists this ribosomal RNA (418 nucleotides) under uncultured bacterium. Its description in RNAcentral is "bacterial SSU rRNA". It matches the Rfam family "Bacterial small subunit ribosomal RNA", at positions 358 to 774 of the family's 1533-position model. The record is from RNAcentral.
GGAAUAUUGGUCAAUGGGCGGAAGCCUGAACCAGCCAAGUCGCGUGAAGGAUGAAGGUUCUAUGGAUUGUAAACUUCUUUUAUUCGAGGGUAAAGUGAGGUACGUGUACCUUAUUGCAAGUAUCGAAUGAAUAAGCAUCGGCUAACUCCGUGCCAGCAGCCGCGGUAAUACGGAGGAUGCGAGCGUUAUCCGGAUUUAUUGGGUUUAAAGGGUGCGUAGGCGGGUGAUUAAGUCUGUGGUGAAAGCGUGCGGCUCAACCGUACCGAGCCAUGGAAACUGGUUGUCUUGAGUAUAGACGAGGUAGGCGGAAUGUGAUGUGUAGCGGUGAAAUGCUUAGAUAUGUCACAGAACUCCGAUUGCGAAGGCAGCUUACCAGGCUAUAACUGACGCUGAGGCACGAAAGCGUGGGUAUCAAACA